UAUUUUGAACAGUUAUUCAUCAUUUCAAAAACCUUUUCAACUAUUAACUGGUUCCAGCCACUUUUAGGCUUCAGACUGUUUGUCAGACAAACCAACAUCAGAAGACAACACAGUGUGUUCUGGAAAAUUCUGAGCGACAAAAUAAUCAGCACAUUAAUUCAAAAAGAAAACAAUAGUUACUUCUUUGCAGAGUGGUGUGUGUUUAAAAAUGAACUGUUUGGUAAUAAAAUGCAGAGUAGGAAGUGUCGAGCUGAGUCUCAGGACCAGCACAGGAUGACCAGUACAUGUCUGAUCAGGUGAUAAGUUCUGCUUCUGAUCAAAGUGAAAUUGAACCUUGGUCAAAAGAAUUUUAUAUCAAAUUCCAAGUCAUUUUCAUAGGACCAAAAUUGUAGCAACAUAAAAAUGUACAUGAGAACUAUUUGAAGUAAGUGUCAUUGUCAUAUCUUUAUAACAUAGACACAGUUUUGUGUACAUAUGGCAGAGAAACAUACAUUUCAGGAUUACAUAUUUUUUGCCUCACUAUCUCCAUUAUUGAAUUGCUGAGUCUAUAGGAAGAAGCUUUCUGUUAUGUUGCGAUUCCACUUAGUUAUUGAAUUAUUAGUUAUUUCAAACAUAAUUGAAUAUAUCUUAUAAAAUGUAUAUCCACUGUAUUGAAUAUAACCUUUGUUAUUAUAUGGUGCUGAUCGUAAAGAAUGUAGCUGACAUUAAUGACCUAUUGUAAAUUGAACCCAGGAAAAACCCACGUAUUUCUUUAAUCCAACCAAUGUCUUCCAAGGGACAAUGGGUCGUCCCUUUCCUUUAGGUAACAUUCUGCCCUAAACCAUCACUGACCGUAUGUGUCUAUGAAGGGAACAUAGAUGGAUGUCACCACCAGUGUGUAUGAACUGAUAAGGACGUACGUGUGAUACAUGCAAAGCCACAAGGUUGCGAAAAGGCCUCAAGCUAGUAGUUCAAUAAUGAGUGUUUUUUUUUCUGUUAUGUAUUCUGCCCUCAUGUGAAAUGACGUGGGUGUAUCCCAGCUAAUGCAAGAGACAGAUCUCUUGAACUAAUCUAGCAAAACACAAAAAAAUAAUUAUGCCCGUGUGUAAUUGUUUUUUUUCUUCUGUUUUUUAGAUCUGGAGCCACAUCCGUGCACCAUCACAACAAAGUUGCAACAUGAUGAACAGCCAGGCCAUACAUACCCUCGUCGGCCCAGCGUUUCAAAGCAAGAUGCCUUUAUUCGACGGGACUACAGCAGCCACAGAUCUGUCAAAGCCGCAAAAUAUGUCUGGCUUCCUGGAUAAGCAGACGCUGCAGUACAGCGGGGCUUACUUAACAUAUGACCCCAGAGGAAAAGACGGAGCAGGAUUCACUCCACCUUGGAGCAGCUCAAAGACCUCGCUGCUGGAUGGCCGAAGUCCUAUGAGUCACCUCUCUGGCAUGGAGGGACAAAACCGCAUAUUUUACAGGCAAGACAGCAGUUCUCCAGAGGAACGCCAUUCUCAUUCUUCCUCCCUGUGCCACAGCCCAGUUAAACAGGGCUUUACCAUAUACACUAAAAGUCCAGAGAUGGGCAGCCCCACAGCUGUUGUGAGGAAACCAAAAAGCGGAGGUGAGAAUUCAUCUCCUCCAUCCGAAAACUCUGUUUACCUCGCAAUCCCGAAGCCAGUUUACAGACAUACCCCCUGCUGUAACGAGCUGGGCUGCGUGAUAGGGCACCGAUACAGCGUGGAGCAUGGCUCUCCGAGGAUACCAAACCCUGUAUACAAGCACGACUGGAUGCAAAGUGAUGCUCACUACGCUGAAAGACCAGCUGUCCAGAGAAAGACACAAGACGUGCUGCUGCAGCAGAGAGGCUUACAGUUUGAUCCCAGUGCUGAACCACUGAAGAGGAUCAGUGUGGAGACGUACAGUCCAAGUGCAGGGAGGACAUUGCCUGCUGUGAUUGACCCCAACUACAGCAGUUACCCCUGCACCCCGACUCGCACUCUGUUUGGUUCUUUAAGCGAGCAGAGCCAACGGUUACAGUCUUCCCCUAGAGGCUACCCCAGCCAAUACCCCUCCCAUCCUCCAUACGAGCAUAUGACCUCAGAGGUUUAUCAGGAACGCUCUCCCAUGUCCAAAUAUGGUCAGAUAACACAUCACCCAGUGUUUUACUACCCCCACACAAAUGAGGAGGUACAAAACAGCACACGGUGUAAAAACAUGGGCAGUAAGCAGAGAGAUGUCCCUGUUAUUCUCAAACACACGAGCUCGAACCCCAGGGAGCAUUACAUCGUGGCUCAGUCACUUAAUGGUGAAAUUCCUUUGCCUAGCACUGAAACAUUACCAAAUCAUUCCUUCAUGCAGGGCUUCGAAUAUCCGUGUUAUGCAGUCCCUAGAUUUAAUGUAAACGCAAGCCAUAUCAGAGUGCCCCAAAAAAGGCCACAUGCAUCGCCUAGUUUUCACAGUAAUGGCAUAAAUCUGUCCCCAACCAGACAAUAUAUGAAUCACCCCUUAACCUCUGCAGCCAACCCACAUAAGGACAAUCCCAACAGCAGCCUGCAUGUUGCCCAGUCACAAAUCCACUCACCGUACCGUGGCGUGGAUCUAACCAGUCCCACCAGGUGUCGGAGCCAACUUGGCCUCUCGCUUCCCAUGAUAAAUGUGAACAGACCUUUCCCCCCGCUCUCCAGCUGGCACAUGGACCCACACCUCCUUUCACCUGGUGGCUUGAAAAGACUCAUGGACUAUUCCUCGUGCGAAGCCCAGGCGACGCAGCAUCCUAUUUCCACGGCGACAUGGCUGCCCCAGUCUCCCAGUCACAGCGCUGAUCGCAUCCAAGCAGCUGUAACCAAUAGUGCCAAUGUCAGAACAAUUGUUUAUUCCCCUGCCAAUGCAGCAGGAAAUAAGGACAACGCCCACACGUCUACUUCAGGCAGCUCGGUUCUUAAAGGUUGCCUGAAGAGAAGCAUAUCUCAUCCAUCGCCACCUGUCAAAAUAAAAGAAGAGGGUAGGGAUUUAUGUGAGGUGGGACUCAUGAAGAAACGACAAAGGAUGGAAAUGGAGAACGUACAAGCAGGAAAUAAGACGUUCUCUCCUCCUAUGCCUGUCAUUGACAAUGUCUUCAGCCUGGCACCGUACCAAGCGUACCUGCAUGUCUCUAAAGUGCUAUUUCCUGUGAGAAGCGUCCAGUCCUCCGAGCCCAAGCCAGACUUCAGAGCAAAAAAGUCAGAUGGAGACGAACAGCGGCCUGUUGUCUGUCCCGUUCCCAAAAAAAUCUGUCCAGAUACACGUACAGGGAAGCCCGUAGUUGAAACCUUUGAACAGAAAGAUAUUAAAGUGGAACAAGUCGAUCCAUCGUACACAGUAGAGUUACCUGUUCGUCAGAAGGACUGCAUCAAAUUCACAAUCAAACAAGAGCCUGAAGAGGCUGAUUCUUCUUCUGACUGUGGGCACAUGUUGGUGAUAAAGAAAUGUGAACCAGGUGAACCCAAAAUUGAAGCCUCGAUUGCAGAUGAAAACAAGACUUCAGAUGAGUCAAAAACCGUUGAGUUGAGUCGACCGACGAGAUCGUAUUCUGAGGGUGAUGCAAGCACGCUGAAGGAGCAGGUGUCCACUCUUCAAUCCAAAUCCACUACUCCACCUCAGCCACCUGAGAGCAAGCUCAAUUUCAAAAACAUUCCUCCCCAGUGUUUAAAACUUUCCAGCUACAGAAUCAUUCUCCCUGAUAUGAAACAUUCCAUCCCUGCUCCACCACCUGAGAAACCACCUGCACAGCCAGAAACUGAAAUGAUUCCAAAACAAGAUCCCCAAGUGCCGGUCCGCAAGCGUUUCUUUGAGUUACAUCACUCCCUCUGCAAGCUAAUAUCAAAAUCUGUGUCAGCCUCUUCAGAACAGGAUCUCAGAACCUGGUUGUCCCAGUUGCCGCUGACGGAGCCUGCAGCCACUUCUACCAAAGUCCAGAAAGUGUCGUGUCUGUUGGGUGCGAGAGCCCGAGAGGUGUGGCUCAACGAGGAGAUGAAGUCGGCUCUCCACGAGGUCCUGGAGAGGCUGAAGGAGUACACCACCCAGGAGCUCUGUCCUUUUCCGCACGUCAUGCGGACGGGGGCGGUGUUCCUGCCCAUGCUGGUGAUGAAGGAGCUGCUGUUCCCGAUGGUCCAGGUCAGCUUCAUCGACCAGGUCAUGCACGAGCACAAAGUGGCUCUUCGGCCCACGACGCUGUCCGAAGAGAAGAUCCUCAUCCAGCUUCACAAACGGGCCUGCUCCUCCCGCCUCAGGAGGCUGAUGUCCCUCAAACACUUGCCCGACAUCUAUGCCGACGUGGUCAACCUCUUGUAUUACGCUUGUGUCUGCAAACACCUGGGUAAGUGCAUCUCAGAGUUACUGAAUUUCUUCCUAUUAAACAAAAAAAAAAAAAAAGGAAUGGCAGUUUCGAAUGGUCUUUUUGAAAAAUAUAUUUGUCCAUUUUCCAUAUUAAUGUCACUCUGGGAUGUAAAAAUGCCAUUUAGUCUCUUGGUACUGUCAAGCCACACACAGGAGACACAACGAGCAACAGUUGUGUUAAUUACCCCUCCUGGGAUGUCCUGGACACCAACCACCAAUGACGCACACUGAAGCAAACAAAUGCUGGUAAAGGAGCCAGGAAAUAAAAGAGAAUAAACAUUUACUUAACUGACACAAAUAACUUUUUUUUAACUACAAUUUGACUACUCCUGCUUUUCAGUGUUGAGACUGCAACUGAUUUUGUCAGUAAAGUACCGUUUAUUAGUCUGGCAGUCAUAAAAAUCGAAGUCAUGAGUGAAAAGUUCAGUCUGUUGUUCUCAAUGUUGCUAAUAAUGGAUCACAAGACACAUCGAAAUGAUUCAUAUGAUGCUGUUUCACGUACAAAUCCUUGUUUCCUGACACGUGUUUCUUUUAGUGUGAUCAUUUGUUGCACUGUGUGUAACAUGACGGCCAAAACUACGGCGCGUCCUGCCUUCCCCUGCACAUAUUUGGAAAUCCCCUUUGGGUGUGAUUUAGAGAUUUGCCUGGAUUUUAGAAUAAAACAUUUUGACAGCAAGCUGUAUCUAGUUUUCCUUCAAGCUGCCUUUUAGUCAUAUUUUCUGCAUUACUGGCCAUUUCUUGUAAAGAACAGAGCAACAUAUUCAUUCAAUACAUAUAUAUAUUCAAUAUAAAAUCCAUUUAUUUUUUACAGAAUCAACUUCACCUGACGUCCAAAAGAGAGUCCAGGAUUAGAUAUGGACGAUCCUGCUAACGGGGAGAAAGACGACGGUAGUGAGGAGGCCCCAGUGUUUUCAGACAUCAGCACUUCACCGGUCUCACCCCCAGAGUCACGCCCCCAGAGAAACCCAAAGGACGUGGAAAUGAAACCACAUUUGAACACUAACACAGCAAAAAGCAGGGUAAAGAGCAGCUCCAGGCGCAGGUUUCUGGACAACAGCUUUUCAGAUGAGGAAGAAGCAGGCGACUCAGUAGAGAAUGUAAGAAUAGAAGAAUGCAAGAAACACUUGAGAGCCAGUCCGUCUGACGAGAGUAAGGACAGAGGAAGUGACGCUGUGGUUGCAGAGCCGGAUUCUUCACUAAUUCCACUGAGUCCACCGUCUGAGAAUUCAUGGAUGUGUCCUUUAACCUUGGACGAGCUUUCUAUGUCUCCCACUGACACGGAAACGGAGCAAUACUCCGUUCUGCAGCCUGCUCAUAAGUCUUUAGUUCCAGCCAAGGCUCAGGUCAGAUCUAAGACUUGCUCAGGUGUGAUUCUCAAACUGAGAAGGAUGUUUAGCGAAGGUCUCAACAGAAAAAAGGCCCGCUACCAAGCGGUGUCAGACUCUGGGACAUUGGAUAAUCCUUCCCUCUCAAAAAACAAGGGUUUGGAGGGAGACGAGAGGACGCCCCAAGCGACCCACAAGUCGAGGAGAACUGGUGGCUUCGCUCACGCCUUAAGACCCCUCCGCAGCUCUUCCAAAAGAAAACACAGAUCCCUCUUGAAGAUCAAAUACUGUCCCUACUUGUCUGCCUGCCACAGCGCUGAGCACAGGAGGCGAUGGGUGCUGCGUUCGGCCGUGCACAGGGCUCAGAGGGCCUACUACCCAGACCUGGUGGGAAAGAGAAUCCGCCAUCUGUAUGAAGAAGACGACAAAUCCGAAGUGUGGUAUAGAGGAGAGGUGCUGCGUGUCCAUGAGGCCAACACGAACCCUCUGAAGACUAUAUUUGAGGUCAGGUAUGACAGCGAGCCAGAGUGGAAGUACUACUUAGAACUGCUGAUAGACUAUAAAAAAGGCUGGUUAAAAAUUGACUAGUUCUGUCAUACAAAUGUCACUGUGCCAGUUUUGUUUUGGUGAUUGUGCAGAUUGAAAUUGGUUUGUUCGCUGAUGGGCCUUAAAUUAUCUUCCUUAUUGGCUUCGUGAAUAAUGAAGUUGGACUGGAUUCUUUUUUUUGGUAUGUCAGCUUUGUCACUUUUGAGCCACAGGGCACAUUCUUCUUUAAAGACGUAUGUAGCAUCAUGUUCCUAAACUCUUAUCAUUGACCGGUGUCUCUGGUUUAUUAACUAAUAAGUUUGUCACAGAAAUGGCAGCAGCCAUAAUGAAAAAAACUAAAAACAUACAUCCCUUAUUCAAAAAAAAUGUAUAUAAAAAAGUAGGCAUAUGUGAAGUUUUGCAUAUGACUUAAGUCAUAGAUACCAACUCCACCUCUUUAAAUAAAAAAAGAAGUGGAGAUAGUAUCUCCCUUUUGUGCUAGUGCGACAGACACCAGCAAAUUCACUGUCAGACAGUGCGAGCCAUGUGUUUAUGGGUUUACAGUAAUAGUGCCAGUGUUGUAUGUCGUGAUAGCAGAGGGCCUUUGUUGUUUUACCCUGAUGAUUGUGGUUAUGUGCGUUACUGAGGCUGGACGGACUUUCACAUAUUCUGUACUGAUCUGCUCAAGUUGUCUUUGUCGACACGCAGGCUGCUGAGAUGUUAUGUCGCAGUGUUUUUAAUCACUGUGAACCUGAAGUCUUCACUUUAUUUUAUUUUGAAUUUUUGUAUCAUUUUAUAAGACUUGUGCAGACUGAAUUGUUAUAUUUCUUUCACUGUUGUGAUAAAUAAACGGAGUGAUUCCA
RNA transcript from Hippoglossus stenolepis (Pacific halibut), 7057 nucleotides. It is a transcript of the gene named chromosome 5 C15orf39 homolog, with no coding region annotated. The record is from RefSeq and is a predicted model, not a curated record. The transcript is spliced from 2 exons. Lineage: Eukaryota; Metazoa; Chordata; Actinopteri; Pleuronectiformes; Pleuronectidae.